RNAcentral lists this long non-coding RNA (849 nucleotides) under Amborella trichopoda. RNAcentral describes it as "long non-coding RNA (ATRI_LNC005291)". Lineage: Eukaryota; Viridiplantae; Streptophyta; Magnoliopsida; Amborellales; Amborellaceae. The record is from RNAcentral.
UUUUAGCCGGUCAUGCCAAACACACUAAAAAUAAAUGAAGAAAAAAUUUGAUAGGUAUUUUAGGUUGGGAUAUACAACAGAAACUAUAUUGAGGUAUUGGACGAGACUGGAAAGGUAUAUCAAUUUAUAAUUUUUUGAUAAUAUUAUUGUGAUUAUAUCAUAUAUCAUGGUUAUAUUAAGUGAUUCUUAUUAAAUCAUCUUUUAUUUAUGUUUUCUAUCUAUUGUGUGAAUUGGUUAUUUAGGAUUUAUAAUAAAAAUAAAUCAAUAAAUAUUUUUUUAGGAUUUUAUGUUGAAGUAUUUUGUAGUAGUUAGAAUUGUAAUCUUUUUUUUCUCUUGCUCUUAUCAUAUUUGUUAGCUUCAAACUUCUUGUUGAAGUAAUUUUAUUUUUGAUGUCUUUAGAAGGAGAAUUUUUUUAAUGAUUAAUUUAAGGUUUCACAAACCUUAUAAAAAAUGGGCUAUAAUAAUAAUUAUGCCGAUUUUUGUAUUAUAUAUUUGAAUUAGUUUAUUUUCUAUACAAAAUACAUCAUAACUAAUCAAAAAACUGACUAGGUUUUUCUGUUUGAUAUAGAUUUUGAGAAAUGGACAUAUUUAUUCUAUUUAUCUAUUCCUCAGAACUGGGUGGGAUAAAUCGUUUACGCUGAUGAUUCGUCUAAAUGUUUUGGUGCGAUAGAUUGUUAAUGCCUUCGCCUGUGUGGGAUGGCAACAUUGUUUAUCUGAUUCUUCACAUGUUUGGUUCAUCCGAUUCAUGUUUCAUCUAAAUUUUUUGGUGCAAUGAAUUAGUGUAUUUUAAAAUAUUGAUUUUCACCGUUCCGAAUUAUUGAUCGCAAAGAUAUAUGAGUGUCAAGAUUG